This 75-nucleotide transfer RNA is filed under the name Lipromima minuta. RNAcentral describes it as "tRNA-Leu". The stretch from base 1 to 66 matches the Rfam family "tRNA". From Rfam's summary of the family: Transfer RNA (tRNA) molecules are approximately 80 nucleotides in length. Their secondary structure includes four short double-helical elements and three loops (D, anti-codon, and T loops). Further hydrogen bonds mediate the characteristic L-shaped molecular structure. tRNAs have two regions of fundamental functional importance: the anti-codon, which is responsible for specific mRNA codon recognition, and the 3' end, to which the tRNAs corresponding amino acid is attached (by aminoacyl-tRNA synthetases). tRNAs cope with the degeneracy of the genetic code in two manners: having more than one tRNA (with a specific anti-codon) for a particular amino acid; and 'wobble' base-pairing, i.e. permitting non-standard base-pairing at the 3rd anti-codon position. The record is from RNAcentral. Lineage: Eukaryota; Metazoa; Arthropoda; Insecta; Coleoptera; Chrysomelidae.
GUUAUUUUGGCAGAUUAGUGCAAUAGAUUUAGAAUCUUUUUAUAUAAAUUAGAUUUAUAGAUAAUACUUGAUUUU